Molecule: ribosomal RNA, 451 nt
Filed under: uncultured bacterium
Lineage: Bacteria
Description: partial 16S ribosomal RNA
Rfam family: Bacterial small subunit ribosomal RNA
Source: RNAcentral
GAUGAACGCUGGCGGCGUGCCUAAUACAUGCUAGUCGAACGAGUUCUUCGGAACUAGUGGCGGACGGGUGAGUAACACGUUGGUACCUACCCCGAAGUGGGGAAUAACUGGCCGAAAGGUCGGCUAAUACCGCAUAAUACCGUAAGGUUAAAGCAGUAAUGCGCUUCGGGAGGGGCCUGCGUCUGAUUAGCUAGUUGGUAGUGUAAUGGACUACCAAGGCGACGAUCAGUAGCUGGAUCGAGAGGUUGACCAGCCACACUGGGACUGAGAUACGGCCCAGACUCUUACGGGAGGCAGCAGUAAGGAAUCUUCCACAAUGGACGAAAGUCUGAUGGAGCAACGCCGCGUGCAGGAUGACGGCCUUCGGGUUGUAAACUGCUUUUAUAUGGGAAGAUUAUGACGGUACCAUAUGAAUAAGGACCGGCUAACUACGUGCCAGCCGCCGCAGUAA